Molecule: ribosomal RNA, 1736 nt
Filed under: human gut metagenome
Description: bacterial LSU rRNA
Rfam family: Bacterial large subunit ribosomal RNA
Source: RNAcentral
GUAACAGCUCACUGGUCUAGUGGUUCCGCGCCGACAAUGUAGCGGGGCUCAAGCACACCACCGAAGACGCGGCAGUAGCUUUGCUACUGGGUAGGAGAGCGUCCCAUGCGGGGCGAAGCGGCGGCGCAAGCCCGCCGUGGACUGCAUGGGAGUGAGAAUGCAGACAUGAGUAGCGAAAGACGGGUGAAGAUCCCGUCCGCUGGACGACCAAGGGUUCCAGGGCCACGUUCAUCGUCCCUGGGUGAGUCGGGUCCUAAGGCGAGGCCGACAGGCGUAGUCGAAUGGAUGAACGGGUCGAUAUUCCCGUACCGGCAUGCAACCGACAAAACCGAAUCCGCGAGUACUAACCUCCGGGUCCGGGCUUACGUCUCCUUCGGGAGCCGGAUGCCCUGGCCUGUUGGGACCGUAACGGUAGUAGGUCAGCGCGGGAGUGACGCAGAAGGGUAGCCGGCCGCGGAGGUGGUCUUCCGUGGUCAAGCACGCAGCCCGUCCCACAGGCAAAUCCGUGGGGCGCGUGGGCGAGGUGCGAUGAUGGGCGCCGCAGGGCGCGAUAUCCGGUGAUCCCGGCUGCCGAGAAAAGCUUCGGCGUGAGGCGGCGUGCCGCCCGUACCCCAAACCGACACUGGUGGUCAGGUAGAGAAUACCAAAGCGAUCGAGCGAAUCCUGGUCAAGGAACUCGGCAAAUCACUCCCGUUCCUUCGGUUUAAGGGAGACCCCCGAUGGUGAAGCGGCUUGCCCGUGGAGCUUUUGGGGGUGGCACAGACCAGGGGGUAGCGACUGUUUACCAAAAACACAGGAGCGUGCGAAGGCGCAAGCCGCUGUAUACGCUCUGACGCCUGCCCGGUGCCGGAAGGUUAAGAGGAUCCGUCAGGCUUCGGCCGAAGCGGUGAAUUCAAGCCCCGGUAAACGGCGGUGGUAACUAUAACCAUCCUAAGGUAGCGAAAUUCCUUGUCGGGUAAGUUCCGACCUGCACGAAUGGCGUAACGACUUCCCCACUGUCUCGACCAGGAGCUCGGCGAAAUUGCAGUACGAGUAAAGAUGCUCGUUAAGCGCAGAAGGACGAAAAGACCCCGGGACCUUUACUAUACCUUGGUAUUGGCAUUCGGUGUGGAUUGUGUAGCAUAGGCGGAAGGCUUCGAAGCCACGGCGCCAGCCGCGGUGGAGCCGCAAGGUGAAAUACCGCUCUGUUCGCAUUGGAUGUCUAACCUCGACCAGUCAUCCUGGUCAGGGACAGUGCCUGGCGGGUAGUUUAACUGGGGCGGUUGCCUCCCAAAGAGUAACGGAGGCGCUCAAAGGUUCCCUCAGCCCGGUUGGCAAUCGGGUGGCGAGUGUAAGUGCACAAGGGAGCUUGACUGCGAGACUGACGGGUCGAGCAGGGACGAAAGUCGGAACUAGUGAUCCGGUGCCGGUGUACGGACGCGGCAUCGCUCAACGGAUAAAAGGUACCCCGGGGAUAACAGGCUGAUCAUUCCCAAGAGUCCAUAUCGACGGGAUGGUUUGGCACCUCGAUGUCGGCUCGUCGCAUCCUGGGGCUGGAGCAGGUCCCAAGGGUUCGGCUGUUCGCCGAUUAAAGCGGCACGCGAGCUGGGUUCAGAACGUCGUGAGACAGUUUGGUCUCUAUCCUCUGCGCUCGUCGGAAUGUUGAGGAGGCCUGCCCAUAGUACGAGAGGACCUGGGUGGACGAACCUCUGGUAUGCCGGUUGUCACGCCAGUGGCACGGCCGGUUGGCUACGUUC